RNAcentral lists this long non-coding RNA (214 nucleotides) under Nicotiana benthamiana. RNAcentral describes it as "long non-coding RNA (NBEN_LNC019368)". Lineage: Eukaryota; Viridiplantae; Streptophyta; Magnoliopsida; Solanales; Solanaceae. The record is from RNAcentral.
GUUUGAGACCCAUUAGCUAAAGUAACGUUGGGAAGAAACUGUGAAUACGUAAUAUCUGACAAAAGGGAUUUAUUACCAGAGAUAUGAUCUGAAGCAGAUGAGUCCACCACCCAUUGUUCAAGAGGACUAGACUGGGAAACACAAGCAAAUUAAUUACCAGCAACAGAAGAAUCAGGCUGAGCAACAGUGGCUACUUGUGGAGACGUCUGCUUAC